UACGAAGGGGGCUAGCGUUGUUCGGAAUUACUGGGCGUAAAGGGCGCGUAGGCGGUCCCUCAAGUCAGGCGUGAAAGUCCUGGGCUCAACCUGGGAACUGCGCUUGAUACGGCAGAGCUAGAGGAUGGAAGAGGCUCGCGGAAUUCCCAGUGUAGAGGUGAAAUUCGUAGAUAUUCGCAAGAACACCAGUGGCGAAGGCGGCUCACUGGCCCGAUACUGACGCUGGUGCACGAAAGCGUGGGGAGCAAACAGG
Molecule: ribosomal RNA, 253 nt
Filed under: uncultured bacterium
Lineage: Bacteria
Description: partial 16S ribosomal RNA
Rfam family: Bacterial small subunit ribosomal RNA
Source: RNAcentral